RNAcentral lists this small RNA (50 nucleotides) under Arabidopsis thaliana (thale cress). RNAcentral's name for it is "ATSL292100". Lineage: Eukaryota; Viridiplantae; Streptophyta; Magnoliopsida; Brassicales; Brassicaceae. The record is from RNAcentral.
AAAGGGGAUAAACGAAAUGCAGAGAACGAAGAAGAAGAAGAAGAAACAGA